Molecule: ribosomal RNA, 504 nt
Filed under: uncultured bacterium
Lineage: Bacteria
Description: partial 16S ribosomal RNA
Rfam family: Bacterial small subunit ribosomal RNA
Source: RNAcentral
AUUGAACGCUGGCGGCAUGCCUUACACAUGCAAGUCGAACGGCAGCAUGGAGAGCUUGCUCUCUGAUGGCGAGUGGCGAACGGGUGAGUAAUGCAUCGGAACGUACCGUGUAAUGGGGGAUAACGUAGCGAAAGUUACGCUAAUACCGCAUACGACCUGAGGGUGAAAGCAGGGGAGCGCAAGACCUUGCGUUUACGAGCGGGCGGAGGUCAGAUUAGCUAGUUGGUGAGGUAAAGGCUCACCAAGGCGACGAUCUGUAGCGGGUCUGAGAGGAUGAUCCGCCACACUGGGACUGAGACACGGCCCAGACUCCUACGGGAGGCAGCAGUGGGGAAUUUUGGACAAUGGGGGCAACCCUGAUCCAGCCAUGCCGCGUGAGUGAAGAAGGCCUUCGGGUUGUAAAGCUCUUUCGGCCGGGAAGAAAUCGCACAGGCUAAUACUCUGUGUGGAUGACGGUACCGGCAUAAGAAGCACCGGCUAACUACGUGCCAGCAGCCGCCGUAA